GUUUCGGGAGAGGUGUUUGGGAUACACCUCAGGUAUUGAAAUGACCCUACCGUAAAUCGGACGCGUUUUGGUAUCCCAGCCAAAGCGCG
Roseobacter sp. CCS2 is the source of this 89-nucleotide non-coding RNA. The record is from Rfam. NCBI's taxonomy places the organism in Bacteria, Pseudomonadati, Pseudomonadota, Alphaproteobacteria, Rhodobacterales, Roseobacteraceae.